This 406-nucleotide ribosomal RNA is filed under the name uncultured bacterium. RNAcentral describes it as "partial 16S ribosomal RNA". It matches the Rfam family "Bacterial small subunit ribosomal RNA", at positions 30 to 526 of the family's 1533-position model. The record is from RNAcentral.
AUUGAACGCUGGCGGCAGGCCUAACACAUGCAAGUCGAACGAGUGGCGGACGGGUGAGUAAUGUCUGGGAAACUGCCUGAUGGAGGGGGAUAACUACUGGAAACGGUAGCUAAUAACGCAUACCAUCGGAUGUGCCCAGAUGGGAUUAGCUAGUAGGUGGGGUAACGGCUCCCGUAGGCGACGAUCCCUAGCUGGUCUGAGAGGAUGACCGGCCCCCCUGGAACUGAGCCACGGUCCAGAUUCCUACGUGAGGCAGCAGUGGGGAAUAUUGCACAAUGGGCGCAAUCCUGAUGCAGCCAUGCCGCGUGUAUGAAGAAGGCCUUCGGGUUGUAAAGUACUUUCAGCGGGGAGGCGUUACCCGCAGAAGAAGCACCGGCUAACUCCGUGCCAGCCGCCGCGGUAAUUC